UACGGAAGGGGCAAGCGUUGUUCGGAAUCAUUGGGCGUAAAGGGCGCGUAGGCGGUCGCGUGUGUCUGCUGUGAAAGCGCACGGCUCAACCGUGUGAAGUCGGUAGAAACUGCGGGACUUGAGGCUGGGAGAGGUUGGUGGAAUUCCCUGUGUAGCGGUGAAAUGCGUAGAUAUAGGGGAGAACACUCGUGGCGAAGGCGGCCAGAUGGACCAGCCCUGACGCUGAGGCGCGACAGCGUGGGGAGCAAACAGG
Molecule: ribosomal RNA, 253 nt
Filed under: uncultured bacterium
Lineage: Bacteria
Description: partial 16S ribosomal RNA
Rfam family: Bacterial small subunit ribosomal RNA
Source: RNAcentral